AUUGAACGCUGGCGGCAUGCUUUACACAUGCAAGUCGAACGGCAGCGGGGUAGUGCUUGCACUACUGCCGGCGAGUGGCGAACGGGUGAGUAAUAUAUCGGAACGUACCGAGUAAUGGGGGAUAACCAAUCGAAAGAUUGGCUAAUACCGCAUACGUCCUGAGGGAGAAAGCGGGGGAUCGCAAGACCUCGCGUUAUUCGAGCGGCCGAUAACUGAUUAGCUAGUUGGUGGGGUAAAGGCCUACCAAGGCGACGAUCAGUAGCGGGUCUGAGAGGACGAUCCGCCACACUGGGACUGAGACACGGCCCAGACUCCUACGGGAGGCAGCAGUGGGGAAUUUUGGACAAUGGGGGCAACCCUGAUCCAGCCAUGCCGCGUGUAUGAAGAAGGCCUUCGGGUUGUAAAGUAUUUUUGUUAGGGAAGAAAAGGGAAGUGCUAAUACCACUUUUUGCUGACGGUACCUAAAGAAUAAGCACCGGCUAACUACGUG
This 490-nucleotide ribosomal RNA is filed under the name uncultured bacterium. RNAcentral's name for it is "partial 16S ribosomal RNA". It matches the Rfam family "Bacterial small subunit ribosomal RNA", at positions 30 to 507 of the family's 1533-position model. The record is from RNAcentral.